This 397-nucleotide ribosomal RNA is filed under the name Micronecta sp. RNAcentral describes it as "partial large subunit ribosomal RNA". The record is from RNAcentral. Lineage: Eukaryota; Metazoa; Arthropoda; Insecta; Hemiptera; Micronectidae.
CCCACUGAUUUUUAAAUGGCCGCGGUAUUUUGACCGUGCAAAGGUAGCAUAAUCAUUUGUCUUUUAAUUGAAGGCUGGAAUGAAUGGUUUGAUGAGGAAGAUACUUUAUUAUUUUAAUUAAAAUAAUUUGAUUUUUGAGUUAAAAAGCUUAGAUUUUUUUAUGGGACGAUAAGACCCUAUAGAACUUUACCUUUAUUCUAUAUGUUAUUUUUUGGUUUAUUUUAUUAACAUGUAUUUUUAAGGUUGAAUUGGGGCGAUUUUGGAAUUUUAUUAACUUCCAAAUUUUAUUUUCACUAAUUGGUGUUUUUUUGAUCCAUUAUUAUGAUUAAUAGUUUAAGUUACCUUAGGGAUAACAGCGUAAUUUAUUUAGAGAGUUCUAAUCGAUAAAUAAGUUUGC